Canis lupus familiaris (dog) is the source of this 1113-nucleotide long non-coding RNA. RefSeq lists it as uncharacterized. NCBI's taxonomy places the organism in Eukaryota, Metazoa, Chordata, Mammalia, Carnivora, Canidae. The record is from RefSeq and is a predicted model, not a curated record. The transcript has 3 exons.
AAGUGAGCUGAGAAAAAGAAAACAGAUUUAAUUGCUGCUUGGAGAGAAAAGUGAACUGAUGAUCUAAUAGCUUGUUUCCACCCCUAAUAUCCACACUCCAAUUCAUGGCAUAUGAACCAAAAAAACCUCACUUUUGCUUAUGGCCAAAUCAUCUGCAUCAGUCCGGAAAGAUUUGAUGUCAGUUGUCUUGAAGACAGAGACAAACUUGCAUGUGGGCCAGCCACGGCAUUUUCAAUCAAAGGAAGGGACCUCAUUCAUUAAACAGAAACAAAAAUAAAACCCCAAACCAUCUGAAUUCUUACAGUCAAAGAAGCAAGAGUGGUUCCCUCCAAGUGGUCUCACCUUGUACCUGGUGAUGGCACAUGAAAAUUCUGUGUCCAGGGAUCCAGAAGAUUCAGAAGACUCCACAGACAAGUGUGAUGGUUGCAAAAGUAGUAAAGAAUAUAUGAAAGGAAUCGAUGGAGAUGUAAUCAAAGAUUUUCAUAGCUGACAGAUAAAUGGUGCAAUUAAAAAUUUGAAAAGACAAAAGCUGUGGGCUGGCUGAAUGGCUUUGAAGAAGAUGGACCUACCCUGAUGUGUCUGGGGAAGAGCAGAGAAAACAGGAUUCAUAGUGGGUCAACAUUUCUUCGUCCUUACUGCUUCAAGGGAUUAAAGUUUGAAAGAUUCAUUUCACAAAUUAAACCUUGCAAAUAAUGAAAAUUUUAACUAGCAGUUACAUAGAAUCUUCUAAAUUCCAAAUGCUUUACAGUAACACUUCCCCAUGGCAUUCUGGAGAGGCAGGAAAGGAAUGAGUUAAGAAAUAGAGAGAUUAAGUUCAAAAAAGCUUUGUAAGAGCUCCUGUAUUCAUUUUCAUUUUAAAAUCUUUUUAAAAAUCUCUUUUUUACAUAGAGCUAGCACUUUGCAGGAAUGUGAAGUCAAGCAGUAUUUCCAGAAAAAUCUUUUGAGACUCUUGUGUAUAAAUACUAAAUACUACUGAAAAGAUAUAUACACAUAACCAUGGCUUCUUUGUGGCCUGAAAGAAGUAUGUGUGUGUGUGUGUGUAUGUGUGUGUGUGUAUGUGUCCCUUAUUGGCAUAUUAGCUUAAUUGUGAAAAUGUGAAAAGAAUCCUUUUUG